AAGUCCCCGCGGUUGGAGGAGGAGGAGACGAACAACUAAAGCAAACGAGCUGCCGCAAUCAAAUCAAGUUCAAAUGGAAUCUGAACUGUGAAUUUACUGGACCAAUUCCUGCAGCAAGAGGCAGGCGGCAUGUUUGUUCAGGAAUUUUGCCAGAGUUGAGUAAGCAACCCCUAAUUGAAAUGGUAAUUGUUAAACCAGGUGCCGAUGAUGCAUAUGCUUUCGUUCAUAAACCGUUGAUUCUUCUAUCAGUACUUGCGUGCACUCACAGUCAUGAAUCCACCUGGUAAAUGCUUUUAUCUUAUAUAUAUCUUCGUUUUCAUUCCUUGUAGUAAAUGCUAUGGUUAUUGCAGAAAAGUAGAUUGUAUGGCACAAGAAAACAACAUAUAUUACACUCUCAAUAUUAGUUUACAAACUAUAGAUACUGCAUAUUAUAUAUCAAUUCUCUAAUAUCAGAACUGAUAUAUACAAACCAUUUACACAAGCAAGCACAAAUUUGAAUGAUUAUAAUAUUUGAUUUGCAAACCCUUGAAAAACAAACCAAAAAAUAGUAGGAAAACUCACUGAGCAGUUUUUUAUCGAAAUUUAUCACCCUUAUUUUGGAGAUGGUGGUUUUGGAUGGGAGGAUUUUCCAGUAAUGGCUUUCCUUACCUUGGCAAUUGAAUGCUUCACUUUCGAUCCAACGCCCGACAGUAUGUUGUGUGAUUUCUUGUGUGGAGUUUUCAGGUCUGCAUCUCCCAUAUCCACCAUGACCGGAGCUUCAGAACCCAAGUCUGGUCUUCUUUGCUCACUCGAUUCCUCUUCAUCAUCUUUCUCCUCGUCG
This 820-nucleotide long non-coding RNA is filed under the name Erythranthe guttata (spotted monkey flower). RNAcentral's name for it is "long non-coding RNA (EGUT_LNC000197)". Lineage: Eukaryota; Viridiplantae; Streptophyta; Magnoliopsida; Lamiales; Phrymaceae. The record is from RNAcentral.